RNAcentral lists this ribosomal RNA (862 nucleotides) under Escherichia coli. RNAcentral's name for it is "partial 23S ribosomal RNA". It matches the Rfam family "Bacterial large subunit ribosomal RNA", at positions 325 to 1191 of the family's 2925-position model. Lineage: Bacteria; Pseudomonadati; Pseudomonadota; Gammaproteobacteria; Enterobacterales; Enterobacteriaceae. The record is from RNAcentral.
UGUGUUAGUGGAAGCGUCUGGAAAGGCGCGCGAUACAGGGUGACAGCCCCGUACACAAAAAUGCACAUGCUGUGAGCUCGAUGAGUAGGGCGGGACACGUGGUAUCCUGUCUGAAUAUGGGGGGACCAUCCUCCAAGGCUAAAUACUCCUGACUGACCGAUAGUGAACCAGUACCGUGAGGGAAAGGCGAAAAGAACCCCGGCGAGGGGAGUGAAAAAGAACCUGAAACCGUGUACGUACAAGCAGUGGGAGCACGCUUAGGCGUGUGACUGCGUACCUUUUGUAUAAUGGGUCAGCGACUUAUAUUCUGUAGCAAGGUUAACCGAAUAGGGGAGCCGAAGGGAAACCGAGUCUUAACUGGGCGUUAAGUUGCAGGGUAUAGACCCGAAACCCGGUGAUCUAGCCAUGGGCAGGUUGAAGGUUGGGUAACACUAACUGGAGGACCGAACCGACUAAUGUUGAAAAAUUAGCGGAUGACUUGUGGCUGGGGGUGAAAGGCCAAUCAAACCGGGAGAUAGCUGGUUCUCCCCGAAAGCUAUUUAGGUAGCGCCUCGUGAAUUCAUCUCCGGGGGUAGAGCACUGUUUCGGCAAGGGGGUCAUCCCGACUUACCAACCCGAUGCAAACUGCGAAUACCGGAGAAUGUUAUCACGGGAGACACACGGCGGGUGCUAACGUCCGUCGUGAAGAGGGAAACAACCCAGACCGCCAGCUAAGGUCCCAAAGUCAUGGUUAAGUGGGAAACGAUGUGGGAAGGCCCAGACAGCCAGGAUGUUGGCUUAGAAGCAGCCAUCAUUUAAAGAAAGCGUAAUAGCUCACUGGUCGAGUCGGCCUGCGCGGAAGAUGUAACGGGGCUAAACCAUG